AACGGGUGGUAAUGCCGGAUGCUCCAUCACACCGCAUGGUGUGUUGGGAAAGCCUUUGCGGCAUGGGAUGGGGUCGCGUCCUAUCAGCUUGAUGGCGGGGUAACGGCCCACCAUGGCUUCGACGGGUAGCCGGCCUGAGAGGGCGACCGGCCACAUUGGGACUGAGAUACGGCCCAGACUCCUACGGGAGGCAGCAGUGGGGAAUAUUGCACAAUGGGCGCAAGCCUGAUGCAGCGACGCCGCGUGAGGGAUGGAGGCCUUCGGGUUGUAAACCUCUUUUGUUAGGGAGCAAGGCAUUUUGUGUUGAGUGUACCUUUCGAAUAAGCACCGGCUAACUACGUGCCAGCAGCCGCGGUAAUACGUAGGGUGCAAGCGUUAUCCGGAAUUAUUGGGCGUAAAGGGCUCGUAGGCGGUUCGUCGCGUCCGGUGUGAAAGUCCAUCGCUUAACGGUGGAUCCGCGCCGGGUACGGGCGGGCUUGAGUGCGGUAGGGGAGACUGGAAUUCCCGGUGUAACGGUGGAAUGUGUAGAUAUCGGAAAG
Molecule: ribosomal RNA, 539 nt
Filed under: Bifidobacterium breve
Lineage: Bacteria; Bacillati; Actinomycetota; Actinomycetes; Bifidobacteriales; Bifidobacteriaceae
Description: bacterial SSU rRNA
Rfam family: Bacterial small subunit ribosomal RNA
Source: RNAcentral